This 508-nucleotide long non-coding RNA is filed under the name Dromaius novaehollandiae (emu). RNAcentral describes it as "lncRNA (ENSDNVG00000015689.1)". Lineage: Eukaryota; Metazoa; Chordata; Aves; Casuariiformes; Dromaiidae. The record is from RNAcentral.
AGGAGAAGAACACACUUUCCAGUCCAACAGGAAUGAGAAAAUAAUGAACAGGAAAACCACAUCAAGCUAAAAACAUGGUCCAUCUUCCAAUGGAGACCCAAGAGAGCAAAAGAAAAAUGUCAGCAAACUAAGAACUGGCAAUGGACCAGGAAAAGAAGUUAAAAUGCUUCAUAAAAUAGCCUCAGUCAGCCACGGAGACCAAUUAGGCUAUGCUAUAACAAGGAUUACUGAACUGUAAUUAUUAUUUAUUCAAAUCAGUGGAAGAAUUACUGUGGCUUACGUUAAAGACAAUAGAAGCUAAUGGAGGGAGAAGCAGAAGAGACCAGCAGUGAUUUCGACAGCACGUUGUCAGCCACACAAGCAGUAUAAAAGCACCCAUCUAACUGACAGCCUGAAAUAGGGGCCUACUGAUAUUUGCUUGUGAGUCAUUCGUUUCAAGCAUAUUUUCAAACACAACCUCUCUUUAAAGAAAUAUCCUUGGAAAAAGUGUAUGUAUGAUACGUACACU